AUGGACCUCCUCCAAAAAGCGGAGGUGGACCUCGGAGCUCCGCCUCUAGACCCCUUUAGUGUUGGUGACGACUUGGAGGAAAAGGAGGAAGAUGAGGAGGAUGAAGGGGAUGACGAGGAGGAGGUGGCCGAGAUAGGGGUGGAGGCAUUCACCGCCGCUUCCCGCCCACACGCGCGGUCGACAAACUACACCGAGGCGGAAGAUGUCCUCUUGGUUCGUGCUUGGGCAGCUGUGGGAAUGGAUGCAACCACCGGCACCGAUCAAACCGGUAAACUGUAUUGGCAAAGGAUCGAGGACGUCUAUUGUAGGAUCAAGCCGAAGAAUAGUGGGUUCAUCCAUCGCACUUUCCGGUCGCUUCAAGGCCGGUGGGAGUUGAUCAAGCCCGCUUGUUCUCGUUGGAGUGCGGCCAUGGACCAAGUGAGGGAUGCACCACCUAGUGGAAUCGUGGAGAGUGACUAUGAGACAAUUGCCGGCUUGAGGUACAAGGAGAUGGCCGCUUCCAAGGGCAAGCCAUUCCCAUUUAAGCAUGUCUGGUCAAUUCUUCAAACCUUUGAGAAGUGGAAGUUGAGGGAUCAAAAGACCGCACCCAAGAAGUCGGCAAUGCUAAGGAUGGACGAUAGUGAAGAUGAGGAGGAGAGGAACUUGGGCAAGCCCGAGGGAAACAAGAAGGGCAAGCUAAGGGUGAAGAUGGAAGAAGAGGCGUCAAGCCUAAGGGAGAAGAUGGACCACAUGAUGAAGGCAAGAGAGGAAUUGACAACAAAGACAUUGGAGAUGAAGCUUCUUAUCACCGAGAAGAAGAAAGAGGUCAAGCUUGCACAAGUUGAAGCAAAGCGUGAAGAAGCAAAGCGCAAGGCCGAGUUAGAGGAGAGGAUGAUCAAGCUCAAAGAGGCAAAGGUAUGGAAAGAACUCAUGGUGGAAGAGAAAGAGCACAUGAUGAUGUCCAAGAAGGACAUGGAUCAAGACCAAUUGCAAUGGUGGAAGGACUACAAGGAGGACAUCGUGGAGAGGAAGAGGAUGUUCCGUGUUGCGUCCUCUACUUUUCGAGGUGACACUCCGAUGAGUAGUUGUGGUGAUGGCGUGUGUACGACUCCACCGGUGCCGAUGAAGAUGCUUGAUGGAGCCCGCUUGUGGUCUAGGAGAUGGCGCCGAGGUGCAACUUUUGGUGAUGGUGCCGAUGAGAGAAGGAAGAUGAUGAUUUUGUGA
RNAcentral lists this ribosomal RNA (1203 nucleotides) under Triticum aestivum (bread wheat). RNAcentral describes it as "partial small subunit ribosomal RNA". The record is from RNAcentral. Lineage: Eukaryota; Viridiplantae; Streptophyta; Magnoliopsida; Poales; Poaceae.